This is a non-coding RNA of Cicer arietinum (chickpea), 322 nucleotides long. Lineage: Eukaryota; Viridiplantae; Streptophyta; Magnoliopsida; Fabales; Fabaceae. The record is from RefSeq and is a predicted model, not a curated record.
ACCAGCACUUGAAGCAGCUGCAUAAACAUCGUGUGAAGGAUCCAUCAUCGGUGAUGAAGAAGAAACACCAUUUCUAUUACCUCCACCUAAAUGAAGCUCAGAAAGGUUGAUGAGGUGGAAGAACUAUGUUCACUUAUUGAAUUGGAGUUAUGUAGUUCAAGAUGUAUGGAAAAUUUGGUGAGAUUGAAGAACUAUGUUCACUUAUUGAAAUUGAAGUUAUGUAGUUCACAAUAUAUGGAAAAUUUGGUGAGGUCGUAGAACUAUGUUCACUUAUUAAAAUUGGAGUUAUGUAGUUCAAAAGAGGUAUGGAAAAUUUGGUGAA